GUGGCGGUGGGAUCCCGCGGCCGUGUUUUCCUGGUGGCCCGGCCAUGCCUGAGGUUUCUCCCUCAGCCGCCCCUCUGCGGGCUCCCAGGUGCCCUUGCCCUCGCGGUCCCCGGCCCUUGCCUGUCUGCGCCCCCUUCCCCGCCCGCCGCCCGCCGAUCCUCUCUCCUCCCCGAGCGGCUCACCGGCUUUACGUCGGUUGGUGGCCGCGUCUGGGACCGAACCGGGCACCGCCUUGUGGAAAAAAAAGAAUAGAAUAUACCCUGUUAAAUCAGACAUGAUACUUGCUUUUGUGGAGCUUAUGCUUUAGUGCAGAAACAGAAAGUCAAGCAAAAACUCAAACUAUGUAACUUUAAAUUGGAUAUGUGCUAAUGAAGGAAAAUGUGGCACUGUAAGAAAAAAUAAUAGGGAGUUAAAGGAUAAAUAGGAGUUUGCUGGAUGAAAUUUAUGAAGAGCUGAAGAUUUCAAACAAAAGAAACUGAUGCAGGAGGGUGCAGCUUUGGAGUCAAGAAUGAAGUUCUAGGAGAUAGAGAGCAAAGAAAUGGUGGGAGAGGAGGUCAAAACGGAAUGAAGUUGAUAAUAGUGAGACCUUGUUGGUACAAGACUAUGUAACAUAACCUGCGCUUCUCAACAAAGAAUUGCUUUUCUGACUUCUGCACUCACAAGACAAAUCUCUCCUCUGCCUUCUCCUUAUCAGACUACUCAACAUGAAGGCAAUAAGAAUGAAGACCUCUAUGUAUAAUAAUUGACUUCCACUUAAUAAAUAAGGUUACUUGGUACACUGGUCGACAAAACCUUGAAAUGUUGAUGUUUAAGGGCUGUUGAUUGCUGGCAGCAAAGAAGUCCAACUGUGCUGGUACCCGAGAUAGCGUCUCCACAUUUUCUUCCAGGAUCAUCACCUUUGUUCUAAAUAGCUCCCACAUAGUGUGAACAGAAGUCAUAUGUUUUAGAUUUUCUGCCUUGGCACCCAGG
This 969-nucleotide long non-coding RNA is filed under the name Homo sapiens (human). Its description in RNAcentral is "non-protein coding MIR663AHG:70". The record is from RNAcentral. Lineage: Eukaryota; Metazoa; Chordata; Mammalia; Primates; Hominidae.